Molecule: ribosomal RNA, 292 nt
Filed under: uncultured microorganism
Description: partial 16S ribosomal RNA
Rfam family: Bacterial small subunit ribosomal RNA
Source: RNAcentral
GUGCCAGCAGCCGCGGUAAUACAGAGGGUGCGAGCGUUAAUCGGAUUUACUGGGCGUAAAGCGUGCGUAGGCGGUUUUUUAAGUCGGAUGUGAAAUCCCUGACCUUAACUUAGGAAUUGCAUUCGAUACUGGGAAGCUAGAGUAUGGGAGAGGAUGGUAGAAUUCCAGGUGUAGCGGUGAAAUGCGUAGAGAUCUGGAGGAAUACCGAUGGCGAAGGCAUCCAUCUGGCCUAAUACUGACGCUGAGGUACGAAAGCAUGGGGAGCAAACAGGAUUAGAUACCCCGGUAGUCC